UGAGUACGAGAUGCUACGGCAUUGAAGCAGUCUAUGUCAUACUUCCAAGAAAAGCUUGCACUGUCAUAAACAAAGAAUGCCUGUACCAUAACCGACACAGGUGGGUAGGUAGAGUAUACUAAGGGGCGCGAGAUAACUCUCUCUAAGGAACUCGGCAAAAUGACCCCGUAACUUCGGGAGAAGGAGUGCCUUAUUUUUAAGGUUGCAAUAACAAGAUCCAAGCAACUGUUUAUCAAAAACACAGGUCUCCGCUAAGUCGUAAGACGAUGUAUGGGGGCUGACGCCUGCCCAGUGCCAGAAGGUUAAAGAAGUUGGUUAGCAUUCGCGAAGCUGAUAACUGAAGCCCUGGUGAACGGCGGCCGUAACUAUAACGGUCCUAAGGUAGCGAAAUUCCUUGUCGGGUAAGUUCCGACCCGCACGAAAGGCGUAAUGAUUUGGAUACUGUCUCGGAGAGGGACUCGGUGAAAUAGACUUGUCUGUGAAGAUGCGGACUACCUGCACCUGGACAGAAAGACCCUAUGAAGCUUUACUGUAACUUGAAAUUGAAAUUGGACUUUAGUUGCGCAGGAUAGGUGGGAGGCGUUGAGAAUAUUCUUGCGGGAGUAUUGGAGCCAUCAGUGAGAUACCACUCUUCUAAUGUUAGAUUUCUAACUUUGUAUCAUUAUCUGGUCAAAGAACAGUUUCAGGCGGGCAGUUUGACUGGGGCGGUCGCCUCCUAAAGGGUAACGGAGGCGCACAAAGGUUUCCUCUGAACGAGUAGAAAUCGUAUCUAGAGUGUAAAGGCAUAAGGAAGCCUGACUGUGAGACCUACAAGUCGAGCAGGGACGAAAGUCGGUCUUAGUGAUCUGACGGUCUGAGUGGAAAGGCCGUCACUCAACGGAUAAAAGUUACUCUAGGAUAACAGGCUGAUCUCCCCCAAGAGUUCACAUCGACGGGGAGGUUUGGCACCUCGAUGUCGGCUCAUCGCAUCCUGGGGCGGUAGUACGUCCCAAGGGUUGGGCUGUUCGCCCAUGAAAGCGGUACGCGAGCUGGGUUCAGAACGUCGUGAGACAGUUCGGUCCAUAUCCGGUGUAGGCGUUAGAAUAUUGAGAGGAGCCUUCUCUAGUACGAGAGGACCGAGAAGGACAUACCUCUAGUGUACCAGUUAUCGUGCCAACGGUAAACGCUGGGUAGCUAUGUAUGGAGUGGAUAACCGCUGAAAGCAUCUAAGUGGGAAGCCCACCUCAAGAUAAG
Molecule: ribosomal RNA, 1233 nt
Filed under: metagenome
Description: bacterial LSU rRNA
Rfam family: Bacterial large subunit ribosomal RNA
Source: RNAcentral